Molecule: ribosomal RNA, 460 nt
Filed under: uncultured bacterium
Lineage: Bacteria
Description: partial 16S ribosomal RNA
Rfam family: Bacterial small subunit ribosomal RNA
Source: RNAcentral
CCUACGGGCGGCAGCAGUGAGGAAUAUUGGUCAAUGGGCGGAAGCCUGAACCAGCCAAGUCGCGUGAGGGAUUAAGGCCCUGCGGGUCGUAAACCUCUUUUGCCGGGGAGCAGUGGUCCGGACGCGUCCGGACCGGGGGAGUACCCGGAGAAAAGGCAUCGGCUAACCCCGUGCCAGCAGCCGCGGUAAUACGGAGGAUGCGAGCGUUAUCCGGAUGUAUUGGGUUUAAAGGGUGCGCAGGCGGAAUGUCAAGUCAGCGGUAAAAUUUCGGGGCUCAACCCCGUCGUGCCGUUGAAACUGGCGUUCUUGAGUGAGCGAGAAGUAUGCGGAAUGCGUGGUGUAGCGGUGAAAUGCAUAGAUAUCACGCAGAACUCCGAUUGCGAAGGCAGCAUACCGGCGCUCAACUGACGCUCAUGCACGAAAGCGUGGGUAUCGAACAGGAUUAGAUACCCCAGUAGUC